AUUGAACGCUGGCGGCAUGCCUUACACAUGCAAGUCGAACGGCAGCACGGGAGCAAUCCUGGUGGCGAGUGGCGAACGGGUGAGUAAUAUAUCGGAACGUGCCCAGUCGUGGGGGAUAACGCAGCGAAAGCUGUGCUAAUACCGCAUACGAUCUAAGGAUGAAAGCGGGGGAUCGCAAGACCUCGCGCGAUUGGAGCGGCCGAUAUCAGAUUAGCUAGUUGGUGGGGUAAAGGCCCACCAAGGCGACGAACUGUAGCUGGUCUGAGAGGACGACCAGCCACACUGGAACGGAGACACGGGCCAGACUCCUACGGGAGGCAGCAGUGGGGAAUUGUGGACAAUGGGCGCAAGCCUGAUCCAGCAAUGCCGCGUGCAGGAUGAAGGCCUUCGGGUUGUAAACUGCUUUUGUACGGAACGAAACGGCCCUUUCUAAUACAGGGGGCUAAUGACGGUACCGUAAGAAUAAGCACCGGCUAACUACGUGCCAGCCGCCGCCGUAA
Molecule: ribosomal RNA, 500 nt
Filed under: uncultured bacterium
Lineage: Bacteria
Description: partial 16S ribosomal RNA
Rfam family: Bacterial small subunit ribosomal RNA
Source: RNAcentral